UGUGUCCGUUUGUAAUCCAUCCUGGGACGA
RNAcentral lists this non-coding RNA (30 nucleotides) under Rattus norvegicus (Norway rat). The record is from RNAcentral. Lineage: Eukaryota; Metazoa; Chordata; Mammalia; Rodentia; Muridae.